Molecule: ribosomal RNA, 126 nt
Filed under: Gaeumannomyces sp.
Lineage: Eukaryota; Fungi; Ascomycota; Sordariomycetes; Magnaporthales; Magnaporthaceae
Description: partial small subunit ribosomal RNA
Rfam family: Eukaryotic small subunit ribosomal RNA
Source: RNAcentral
CCUUUGUACACACCGCCCGUCGCUACUACCGAUUGAACGGCUCAGUGAGGCCUUCGGACUGGCCCAGGGAGGUGGGCAACUACCACCCAGGUGCCGGAAAGUUGUACGAACUCGGUCGUUUAGAGG